ACCAAUUGCAAAACAUCGAUCCCCUGCAUUGCAGGCCCCACUUAAUAUUUGAUGGCAGUUCAUUACUGUCUCAUAUUUUAACCAAUAAUCACUUUUAAUCUUUUCAGUACUGAGUACUUAGAAUAGAGCUGUGUCGACUAAAAUUAAUGACGGCUGUAGCGAUGACUGACACUGAAAAUUUGAGCGGCGGUAUAAAUCAGCUGAAUGCCGGCCUAGCUUUUAAGUGCCGGUCCACAUAGGAAACUUCUUUUGGAACUAUUGAUUUUGAAGAAGAAUUCUGGGACUGAAAAUAAUAAUUAAUUUAAAAUAAAAAAUUUGCAGAAGA
RNAcentral lists this long non-coding RNA (325 nucleotides) under Lucilia cuprina (Australian sheep blowfly). Its description in RNAcentral is "uncharacterized LOC124419062, transcript variant X1". Lineage: Eukaryota; Metazoa; Arthropoda; Insecta; Diptera; Calliphoridae. The record is from RNAcentral.